Molecule: long non-coding RNA, 27240 nt
Filed under: Lynx pardinus (Iberian lynx)
Lineage: Eukaryota; Metazoa; Chordata; Mammalia; Carnivora; Felidae
Source: RNAcentral
AGUAGAUAUUUGAAUUAUGCUUUCUUAUUUUAUAAAAUUGUAUCACUAAACUAAGUCUAUUUUGUUUUAGUUCCUCCUCUUGAAGGUUUUGUAAUGAAUCGGGUGCAAGGUGAUUAUUUUGAAACUCUACUUUAUAAGAUAUUUGUCUCAAUAGAUGAGCAUACUAAUGUUGCAGAGGUAAGUAUGAACAGUGUUUUAUGAAAGACUUGGCCUCGAGGUUAUAAAAUAAUCUUUGUGCGAAGUAAAGUUAUUUAAUGAUGGUUAAAGUGUUUUUGGAAUCUGUACAUGGUAGAUCAUAGACCAUUAAUAUACUUACGUCACUGUUCUUAUGUUACUUCUUGUAUAUACAUACUGAGUUUUUUUUUAGUAAUAACAUAAUUUGGUAAAUAACUUUUUAUAUGACUUCUUGGUAAAAGGACUGUAGGCUGUUGAUUGAUAUAGGCAUUUUCUUAUUUUAAAUGAAACUCAAUUAAAGAGAAAAGAAUCUUCCAUUGUUAUGGUCCCUAUCUAGACUCCUACUACCCUAAACAUCUUAGACAUAAGGAAAGGAGAAAGUUCUGAUUUCAAAAUUUAUUCAGUCUUUCAGUUAUUCUUAAUUUAAAAUUUUGCUCUUUAUGGUUCAGUUGUUUAUUACAAGCUGUGUAAUAUUGAUAAUUCUAGGAAUGUAAAUAAUUUUUUUUUAUCUUCCAGCUUGCAAAUGUCCUUGAAAUAGACUUAUCUUUGGUUAAGGUAUGUAAUUUUUAUACUCUUUUUACUUAUAAAUACUGAAUGGCUUUUAUUAUAAGCCAUUGAUAAGCUACUGAGAGAUAGAGACAGUGAGAUUCUUAUCGCUCUCCAAGGGGACAGUAAAGGGGUCCUUGCAAAGAUAGAAAGAAAUAAGGAUCCUGAAGUGGAAUUUCACCCCACGCAGUGAAAGCCGGCAUUCACAUUCCUGUGCACGCAGGAGGCAGAGUGAUCAGUGUCUAGUAAGGAGGUCAGUUAAAGCAACAACUUCUGCUAAACUGCACCACUUCAGCCUCUUGCUUCGGAGACAGCGGCAGGCCUGAGGGUUGGGAGCAUUCGCUCUUCUACGGAUGUGAAGACCAUAGCAGAUGAACAGGCCUACUGAAAAAUGGCUUUUUCUAGUUAUGGGAUGAAAAUGUGUGAGGAUCACUGUAAGCAUAGUCCGUGGUUAUAUUUUCUCUCUACAAACAUUCUGAUGUCUGGUUCAUUGUAAAUGCUAAUUUCCUUUCUGUUCCUUUCAGAAUGCCGUUUCAAUGUAUUGCCGAUUGGGCUUUGCCCAUAAGAAGGGACAAGUAAUAAAUUUGGACCAGCUUCAUUCAUCGUGGAAGAAUGUUCCAUCCGUAAACAGAUUAAAGUAAUUCAUUUAUUUAGUAUGAGAUAUUAGAGUUUCCUCUUAGGAAAAAAUACUGUUUUAUGUACAAAAAUUUUACUUACCAACCUGUCAGUUGAGGUGAACCCUAUAUAUUAGUGGUUUUUAAUCUUUUUUUGUGUGAUGAAUCUUUUUUAGGAUGAUGAAAACAAGAACCCUUUCCCCAGAGAAAAGUAAAUACAGUAUUUUACAUGCAGUUUUUUUGUUUUUGUUUUUGUUUGUUUUAGUAUUUUACAUAUAGUUUUAAAGAGUUCUCAAAUUCCCUGAAGCCUGUCCAUGGGUCUUAGUUGAGAACCAUUGCUGUAUGUGGGCAGAGCAUUUUCAGGCUUGAACAUAAGACUGGAUUUGGAUGGAUAUUCAUAAUUUGAGUACUGACUUUAGUAGCUAUUUUUAUAUAAGAUAAUUUAUAUGUCUUUUAAAAUGUGGAUGUAUUCUUCGUUAAUAGGAGUACUUUAGAUCCACAAAAGAUGCUGCUCUCAUGGGAUGGUGGGGAAAGUAGGAGUCCUGUACAAGAAGCUUCAUCGGCUACUGACACAGAUACUAACAGUCAAGAAGAUCCAGGUUAGCACUUACUCACUUUAAUUUAGAGUGUUUAUAGAUGAUGGCCUGUGUCUAUACAUACACUCACAGAGUUAACUCUCCUAGCUUUGUUCUCGGUAUCAUUCGUUUGGUACAUAGUCGUUGAGUACUUACCCAUAUGCUGGGUACUGUGCUAGGUCUUAAGGGUAUAAAAUUGAUAAGAAUAUGGUACCUUCCUUCUGAGAAUUAAGUCUAGGGAGAGAGAAGGCAGGAUAACCACAAAACCCACAGCAACGUGAGAAGUGUUUUGGUGCUUGUGGGAGCAGAGGGGAAGUGCUCCCUUGUUGCCUAGAGAGAGAGGUUCAGGAAGCUUUCCUGGAGAGGAGGAUAGUUGGGCUAAAAAUGAAUAAUAGCUUGCCAGCUGGUGAGUGAGGGAAGGCCUCAGUAUGGGCCAAGCACAAGGGGAGGCAAAGCUAAUGGACGAGGGGGCUACAUGUGGUUUAUGUUGGGGUGUGGGGAGGGGAGCACAGCAUAGGCUCUCAUUCUAACCCCAGCCUCUUACCUGAGCCAGGUGACUCGUCUGAAGAGUUUAGGCUAGCUAGUCUUAAUGUUCUGUCAGUUAUCAAGUCUUGGUUUAUUAUUGGCUUUUAAGAAGUUUAUUAUAGGGGUGUCUGGAUGGCUUAGCUGGUUAAACAUCCGACUUUGGACUUUGGCUUAGGUUGUGAUCUCGCAGUUUUGUGAGUUCUAGCCCCACAUCGGUCUCUGCAUUGGCAGCACAGAGCCUGCUUGGGAUUCUCUCUCCCUCUCUCUCCGUCCCUCCCCUGCUCGCUCUCUCUCUCUCAAAAUGAAUAAAUUAUAAAAAACACGGGGCGCCUGGGUGGCGCAGUCGGUUAAGCGUCCGACUUCAGCCAGGUCACGAUCUCGCGGUCCGUGAGUUCGAGUCCCGCGUCAGGUUCUGGGCUGAUGGCUCAGAGCCUGGAGCCUGUUUCCGAUUCUGUGUCUCCCUCUCUCUCUGCCCCUCCCCCGUUCAUGCUCUGUCUCUCUCUGUCCCAAAAAUAAAUAAACGUUGAAAAAAAAAAUUAAAAAAAAAAAACACAAAAACAAAAAAAAGAAAAAAAAACAUAAAAGAAAAAAGAAGGAAAGAAAUUUAUUAUAGGGGUGUCUAGGUGGCUCAGUCAGUUAAGUGUCCCGACUCUUGAUUUUGGCUCAGGUCAUGAUCUCAUGGUCGUGAGAUUGAACUCUGCUUUUGGGUUCUGUACUGAGUGUGAAGACUGCUUGGGAUUCCUCUCUCCCUCUGGCCCUCCCCUGCUCGCACGCGUGCUUGCUCUCAAACAAACAACAACGAAAGAAAUUUACUACACAAGUACCUUUAAAAAAAUUUUUUGUAACCUUUUUUAGUUCGAGAUAGGUGGGACUGGGACCUUUUGGGACUGCAAUAUUGGCUUACAUUUAGUUAUGUAAUUUUUUUAAUUAUCAAAGUUGAAAAGAAAUACUUUCUCAUUCUAAAUGAUAAGCAAAGAAUAAUUUUCAUUUACUCGAUUUUACGUUAUGAUUUUUUUUUUCUAGCUGACACAGCCAGUGUAAGCAGUUUGAGUUUGUCCACAGGAUAUACAAAGCGUAUUGCUUUUCUCUUUGACUCAACUCUCACUGCCUUUUUAAUGAUGGGAAAUCUUUCACCAGUAAGUCAAAUUCUUGUUUAAAUAUGACAGUGUUUAAAGAUUAGAAUUAAAAUAGUUCAUGCUUUUAGGUCCCUUUUUAAGAAUUAGAUUAAUUCCUAAAAAUGCAAAAUGCAACUGUCUUUGUUUUAUAUUCCUUAGAGGAGCAUAGUAACUCUUUAGUGAGGGUUACUUCUGUAAUCAGAAGACUCAGCUUCACAUGUCACUCACUUUUAAGUGUAAUUAUAUUAGACAGCAUAGUAUAAAUGUGAGAUGUUAAUGCUUCAUAUAAGAAGAGAAAACUAGGACUUAUGAACAGUAGACUCAUGUAAGGUGUUUAGGGUCCAUUUUAAGUUUUUUUGUUUUGUUUCUGUAUUACAGAACUUGAAAAGCCAUGCUGUCACAAUGUUCGAAGUUGGCAAACUGUCAGAUGAGUCUCUGGACAGCUUUCUUAUAGAACUAGAAAAGGUAAAUCUGGACUGGUCAGUAUGGGAUGUCAGGGCAUUUGGAACCAUUUCUUGAUACAACAUCAGUUAUUGAUUGUAUAGGUUUUCAUAUAUUCUUGCUCAUUCCUGCCUAAUUCCUCACCUUAAUACUGCAACAGUCAUUUAGACUUUAGAAUAUCAAGUGGAUGAACAGAUUUUGUGAUUUAAAAAGUGAUUUGUGGACCUUAUCUAUCACUUAGCAUGAUUUGGUUUAAUGAAAUGGGGUACAGAAAUAGUCUAUGUAAUUUUUUGAAUUACGUUUUUCUAAAAUAGCUUGUAAUUUUCUUUAGUGUGAUUUUCCAAGAUCUCCUUUCAGCUGUUUUAUUUGAAGUUUUUGUUCCCCUUAUCUUAAAUCUGAAACAGUGUCCCUGGGUAUCAUGUUUAUGUCCACUCUCACCAUCCCCUUUAUUGUCUGGAAGACUUCAGCCAAUGCUCUUAGCCACCUUCUUCCCCAUGAGGACAGCCCUACUUGGCCUUAGCUCUAAAUCUGGAUUGCCCUUUUGGGGUUUUCCAUUUCCUAGGUUUUUUGGGUUUUUGGUGGUGGUGGUCGUGGUGUGGUAGAGAUGUGUGUGUGUGUGUGUGUGUGUGUGUGUGUGUGUGUGUGUGUGUGUGUGUUGUGUGUGUUUGUUUUCGUUUUUGUUUUUGUCCUCUGUUUUCCUCUCUGCAAAUAGUUUAUAUGCUGAAUCUGUUACUUGACUAAUAAUUUUGGUACCUUUUGUGUUUUAGUGGUGAACUCUAUGUAUUAAAUGUGCUACUUAGAGGAUUUUAUGAUUCCAUUAUCCUUUAUAUCUUAAGAAAAAGACCAUGACAUUUUUCACUCUUCCUUCUCCAUAAAUUUUUCCUUUUUUUAGGGCAGAAAUGUACUUGAGAUAAUCCUUGCUAUUAAUUGUUCUCUUAUUGUUACCUUUAUACAUCCAUUAUUCCCUCAAUACUUUUAACACCUUGUUAACCCCAUUUCUUGUUUAUUAUCUUGGAAAAUUUGCCAAUAAAUUUUUUAUUUUCUAGCACAUUCUAAGUUCUGUUUUUCUGACUUUUAUUUUUCUCACCUCCACUAGUCUUUUACCACGUUUAGCAAAUUGGAAGAUCACUUUAUUUUUUAUAUAUUGAUAUUCUCUUAUAUCACAUAGUUAUUUUUGGGAAGGCCUUUUAGUCUGAAGUCUAGUUUUUAAAAAUAGUUUCUUAGCUAUUUUUUAAGAAGCUUCAUCUUGAUGAGGCUUAAGUGGUUAUCUUAUUUUUUAAUGCAGAUCUAAUUUAGUCAUUUUCCCCUAUAGACCUGUCUUUCCAUUUCGUGUGUUGUUUCUGGGAUGUGUGUGUUUUUACGUAUGGAACAAGUACCUGACUCAGUGUCAGAAGAACAUGCAUUAAAAUGAAGUCCAGUGAGCACAGCGGUUUUGUCCACUAUUCAAUCCAUACAUCCUAGACAGGUCAUCCAUAGCACAUAGUAAGGACUCAGUGAAUCCUCGUUGAAUGAAUUUAAGCUGUAUAUUUAGUAGCGUUGAAACAGCCGUGUUGAAUCACAUACUCCACUGAGCUUUGCAGCCAGUGAUACAGAACUGUGGACACGGUGAUGAGAAUUAGGGGCGUAAUUGGUGACCAUGGAUUGGAGUACUCUUCUGGAAGAAGCAGAACGUAGAAUGUAGAUCUUAAGAGUUUUUUUAAGCACUCCAUUUGAAUCAUAUGUGAGACAUACAACUUAUAUAAUGGUGUAAUUUAACAUUAUUUGGUUUGUUAGUUUUACUUGCUGGGAUAAUUUCUGUCAUCUUCAAGGAUGUAUUCAAAUAGAAACUCAACUGAGAUUUAAGCUAAUGUUUCAGUAUUGCCUGGGCAAAUUUGUGGUUUAUUGAUUCUUAAUGUCUUAAUAUCUCUACUGUAUGGUUACAUAUUAGGAUGAAUGGUUUGAGAGUGGUACUGCAAAACUUAUUUUCUCUUGGUUUAGGUUCAGAGCACUGGUGAAGGAGAAGCACAGAGAUAUUUUGAUCAUGCACUUACUCUGAGAAACACAAUAUUGUUUCUGCGUCAUAAUAAAGAUCUAGUUGCACAAACUGCACAGCCAGACCAGCCCAAUUAUGGUAUGAUAAAUGUACUUGAUUUUGAAGACAUGAUCCUAUGGAACUUCUUUAAGAAAUUAAACAGGUCACGCUCACUUAUUUAAUACAUUUUGUGUAGAUGGCAUGUCGAGUUUGCAACUAAAGGCUUGUUUUGUGAAUUUCUUUGCUCGUGAACUCUUUCUUACCUUAUUUUACUCUUUCUCCUUUCUUAUGUGCCACUGUAGUAUUUGUAGCAUUUAAAUCUGUUCAGUACCUAUAAGAAGGGUUGGAGUGUUUAAUUUGUUUAAGUGGCUGGACAGAAUUUAGAACAGGCCUCAGUUUGAGGGGUGAACAAGUGCCAAAAUGUAGUUGUUUUAAGAAGCAUAAAAUUUCAUGAGUGAAAGAUUUCAUUGUAUAAAAAUAAUAAACAGGAGCUUCCUAUUGAAAUGCUGCUGUAAUAUUUACUAAAGUAUUUUACACUAACAAAUAAAAAAGAGGACGGAGAACCUUUUUAAAGAGUAAAAGAAGUAGUGACACUUGUAAUCUGUGAUGAGCCCUGCUGUGGCGAUCACCUGGCAUGCGCUGUCAGUGUUGGGAUAGACGAGGGUUCCCAAACUGGGGGUCAGUGGAUGGUAGGUCCUGCGUUGUGCAGCGCCAUCCAGGAAUAUAUGUUUUGAAAAGAUGACGUGGCCUGGGCACCAGUGAAGAGCAUUUGGCUCAGAUCCUCAGACAUUCGCAGGAGCUGCAUCUCGGAAGUCUGUGAAAUCUUGGCACCACGAUAAUAUUUAUUCUCACUCAUUCUUUCAUUCACUUGGAAGUUCUGUUUUCUGGCCAAGAACCUUCGAGUUUCUUAGUGACAUCCAUUCUCAUUCUACUUCUUUCACUAGCAUCUGGCUUUCUUUUCAACUCCAUUUAAAAAUUUAAGGACGGAAUCAGUUGUCACUCCACAAAAGUGGUUGUGGAGGUGACCGCAAAGCUGCCAGGUGGUUGAGCUGAGUGAGGCUGGACACGCUCAGUUUCCUGUGACUGGGCUCUGCAACCUUUGCGUGUCAGGUGCAGAGAUAGACGUGAGCAGAAAGAGGAACGGUCCCAUGCUGGGGCUCUUUUUGAGAUUGUUCGUAAAUAGUUAAAACUGAGACUAUUAAAUGCCAAGCGGCCAAAGCACUUACUCAUAAGCGUUUGUUAAUAGUAACCUUUUUUUGGCUACCAAAUGUUAGAUCAUGUGACCUGAGCAAUGAGCAGCACAAUCUUGAAGAUGUCUUUGUACGCAAAAGUUACCGGGACUUUUUAGUGACUUAUGGAGAUAACAGGUUAGAGUAUUUGAAAUACUCUGCUAUAACCAUCUUAAAAUAUAUCAUCCUUCCGUGCUCAUGAUAGAAUGCAGGGAUGUUGGUGCUAGUGGCCAGGCAAGUUUAACUCAUUUUAUAGAUAAAGAAAUUGAAGGUUGUCUCAGUCAGAUUUCCCGCCCAUAUAAAUUAUGGUCUGUAUGAUCAGUCAGUGGAAGAAAUGGGAUUUAAAUCCAUGUCUCUUGAAUUUUUUUUUUUUUUUUGCUCUGUCCCUUUUAUUAACUUCUCUUGAGCACUAAGCUUUUUUUUUUUUAAUUUUUUUAAUGUUAUUUAUUUUUGAGAGAGAGUGAGAGAGAGAGACAGAGCAUGAGUGGGGGGAGGGGCAGAGAGAGAGGGAGAGAUAGAAUCCAAAGCAGGCUCCAGGCUCUGAGCUGUAAGCGCAGAACUCAACACGGGGCUCAAACCCAUAAACCACAAGAUCGUGACCUGAGUUGAAAUCGGACGCUCAACCAACUGAGCCACCCAGGUACCCCAGGCACUAAGCUUUUUAUUGAUUUAUUCAUAAACGACCUCUCAGUAAUCUGGACUAAACUUUUUCACCAUUAAUUUAUGUACCAAAAUGUAUGUUAAAGGGAAAACCUAAACCUUAUCUGUGUGAAAGUAGUUAAGUUUAUUUUUCUAACCUCGGAGGUUGGCUUGAUACUUGACGGGUUUUGGGUACCAGUUAAAGCUUUUGUUGUUUAGUCUCUCCUCUCUCAGAUUUUUUUUAAUCAUUUUUUCACUUGUGGCUGUGAUUUCUCCAUUUUAUUAAAUUUGCUUUUGAAUUGUUGUACUUAAACAUAAGUUUCUCUACUCUUUAUAGAACUUUUCCCCUUCUCUCCUCUUCCUAAGCCAACUGCUCACCUCUCAUUGUACUUCAAAAUGAACAUCACAUCUGGGUCCAGCCAGUCUUGUCUUAUAGCUGCUUUCGGUUCUCUGUCUUUCCUUUGUUUGCCAGAGGUGUGGACCCGAUGUUCUUCCUGACAUCUGUAGGACUCUCUCUCCUCCAUUAACAUUAAAUCACAGACUCCCUGCGGUUUUUAUUUUUUUAAACAUCCUAUUUGGAAAUAUUUUAAAUUUACUAAAACGAAUAAAAGUAGUAUAAUUACUUUCAGCCCAGAAUUUGGGAGUAAGUGAAGUAUCAUGGUGUUAACUCCACUAAAUUUUUCAGGGUAUGUUUCUUUUCUAUUUUUUUUAGUGUUUAUUUUUGAGACAGUGCAAGCGGGGGAGGGGCCGAGGGAGAGGGAGACAGAAUCAGAAACAGGCUUCAGGCUGAGCUGUCAGCACAGAGCCUGUCGAGGGGCUCGAACUCAUGAACCGUGAGAUCGUGAUAUGAGCCAAAGUCAGACACUUAACUGACAGCCACCCAGGCGUCUCCUCUCAGGGUAUGUUUCCUAAGAAUAGGGCUAUGCCCUCACAUCAACUUCAGAAACUGUAAUGUUGAUACAGUAAUCUACCGUUUGUAUUCCAGUUUAUCAGUUGACCUAAUCAUGUCCUUCAUAGCAUUUUCGCCCUUCAAGUGCAGGAUCUGGUUUAAGAUCAGAUCUGCAUGAAAUUGUUGUGUCUCCUCUAUCUCCUUUAUUCUGGAACAAAUCUGUAACCUUUUUAGUCCUUUAGAACAUUCUUUUUUAAGAAUAUAGUCCCUUUUUGUUGGUUUUACCAGAAAGUUUCUCACCUGGGGUGUAGGUGAUGUUUCAUUGUGUUUAGUAGAUUCAGGUUGUGCGCUCAAGUCUAGAGUAUCAUGUAAGUAAUGUCAUGUUCUAAGGGUAUGACAUCUGGAUGCAUGUGAUUUCCAUCUGUCCCCCAUUGUGAUGGUAAUUUUGAUCACCCAGUUGAUGUGUUUUCUGAUAUUUCCACCGUACAGUUAAUUAUUCUCCCCACCCUCAACUACUAAGUAAUCUGUGGGCAGAUACUUGGAGACCAUGCACGUAUCCUACUCCUCAUCAGUAUUUCCUCUCAGAUGGAGCAUCCAGGGAUGGUCCUGUCUGAACCAUUCUUUACUGUGAUGGCUGCAGAUUGAUCACUUUUUUCCAAUUCCAGUAUUUCUUCCAGUGACAGCUGGGACUAGGCAUUCUUUCAUAUUCUCAGUAUGGAUUGAUGAAUUCCCAUUUUUUUCAGUGGCUUAUAAUCAGUCAUUGCUCUCUUAAUUCGUAUGCUGCAGUUGUCUCGGAUUUUGCCAGUGGGUUUCCCUUCAAGCCGGCUCCUGUUUUCUUGUGCCAUGCCUCCAUCCUUUAAAUUUUUUUUUUUUUUUUUUUUUUACUUUUGUUGCAGUUCUUUUCUCUCUGGCAAAACAGUGUUAUCUUGUCUUGUACUUCUGUCCCAUUCCUGGAAUCAGCCUUUUCUCUUAGGAGCCUGGUUUCUCAUACUAGGGUAUGAUAUUAAAGAUCAAGGUCCUGGUGCUAGUUGUGCUCGGUGCUUCUGUGCCCUUCCAGCAGGCCAUGUGUUUUUUGAUUCAUUCUUGGCUUGAGUGAGAGAUGGGCCAACUUGACCUUCCAAAGUUUCUUUCAGCCUUAAAUAUCUCUUUUUAGAGGGCAAACAGAAUUGGUAUUUUCCAAAAGGAUCAAGAAUGGGAACACUUAAAAUCUGUUGCAUGCUGAGUGAGUUCAUGCUUUACGGACCGGCAGUCUUGGGUACAUAUUGUUAGCUGAGGAACUCGUUCCUAUGCCAUACUCAGAACUUGGUCUUGAAGCUCUUUGUAGAAAUCAGAAAUUGGGGGAGGCAAGGUGACAGCUUUUUUUGUGGCACUUAGGUCUUCAUAACAUGCCAUUGCCCUGGCGUGGCUGGGGAUGGAGAGGAGGCAAGGUGGAGCAAGCACGUACUUUUAACGGAAGAGGUGGCCUCACAGAACACCAGUAGACCAUUAAUCUUUCUAGACCAGGGAAUAAAGACCCUUAGUUUUAAGUCUUAAAGUGUCUUAGUGGUCUCCAAGGAAAUUGGGCAUUUUUAAUAGAGAUAACUCUGUGAAAACAAUGUUUAAAUAUCAAGGCAAUAUUUUAUUUUAGACAUUUACAAUAUUUAAAUAUUUUACCAAUAUUUUGUCUUGGACAUUUUUGCUUCACAUUGUCAGUCUUUCACUCUAUGUGUAUGCUUGAUCAUAAUUCAGGUUUUCCUCUGGAUCUCUUACGCUGUGAAAGCCUUCUUGGUUUGGACCCUGCAACUUGUAGCAGAGUUCUGAACAAAAAUUACACACUACUCGUCUCCAUGGCUCCUCUCACCAACGAAAUCCGGCCUGUGAGCAGCUGCACCCCUCAGGUAAAGAGCCACCUGGAGUGUCACUAGCCGUGGCAUUUCAGACUUGGUCGUGGUGACUUGAAGAAGAGGCUUUCCGGUUUGAUUGUGUUAUCUCAGUUUGCUGAUACCAAAUAUGAAGAUCAGGGAUCAGUAAGCAGCUUUGUAUUUUAUGCUGUUGUAAGAAGUUCAGUUCAUUGGGUAGAGUUGGUGCAUUUUAUUCAUGUAUCAUCUCGUGAUUGGUGCCACGUUGAAGUUUUCUUGAUGAAUGCAGUAUUUUAAAGAGAAUGUUUUGGAUGCUCUAGGAAGGAAGCCUGGAUCGCCUUGAGGGAUCAAGUCAGUUAGGAAAAAUGAAAUGUUUUAGAAGUGGGGCUAUGAUGGUAAAUAAACGGGAAAGAUUGCACUUGAAAGCUAGAACUUUAGUUAUCUCUAAAACUGACUUGUGAAAAUUACUGCUGCUCUUUUACUUUUUCAGUGUAAUCAGUUGUGUAUUUGUGUACUUUGCAAGGAUGCCAUUUCAAAGAGGGGGGAUCACAUAGCUGUUCUUCAGGGCUGCAUCCUGCCUGGUUUCCUAGAUAUGCAAGGUUAAUGGUGUAGAAGAAAGGAAGGGAUCCUUGAAUAAGGUUGAUUUUGUUGCUGUGCUGUUCUAGCUGCCCUGGUGAGCACACCUCCCUCACCUCCAAAUUUGUCCUCUGUUCGGUAGGAGUGGUUACAGAUUUUACAUUGACCAACUUUUUUUUUUUUUUUCAUAAUUCUUUGUGUGUCCCCCCAACCCUAUCCCAUAUACACAUUUCCUCCUGUUCUGUAACACGAUUUCUAGGCACAGUAGGAAUCCAUGAACUGAAGGAAUGGUAAGAUGGAUGGAAGGUUAGAUAGUCCCUUUGUGAGGAAUUGCAUGUGACUAAUGACAAUGACUGACUUUGAAAUAGAGCUUAUUAUUUGACAGGCACUGUUUUAAACCCUUUUGAGCAAGCGUACAAUGUCUUUACAGGGUAGAUAUUUUGUCACCACGUCACAGAAAAGCAAAGAAGUAACCUUCUUAAGGUGAUACAGCCGGGGGGGGGGGUGGCGAGGCCAAGAUACAGACCUUGGUGUUUUCCUCCAGGGUCCAUCUCCCAAUUAUGGUGAUAAGACGUGCUUUCUCAAUUCUGGAAUAACAUGGAAACCGCUUGGAUGGAGCAUUUAAAAUUUAUUUUCAUAAGAAUAAUAGCAGUGAGCAUUUAUGUGAGGCAUUAGCUGUUUGUAAGACCAUCCUUGGUCCCUUGUGAAAUUUGGCUGCUUUUGAGAAGUAUUACAACUUUAUCUUACUCGUUUCACGAUUACAGCACAUUGGACCAGCUAUCCCAGAAGUCAGUUCUGUCUGGUUUAAACUAUACAUUUAUUACAUCACCGGGCAAGGACCACCAUCUCUUUUACUGUCCAAAGGUACAAGACUUCGAAAACUGCCAGAUAUAUUCCAGGUAUGUUGUGUGAGGUUUGUUUCUUUAGUUGUUUUUGAGGAGGGUAGAGAUUGGUAAGCAGCAUUAUAGCAUUGGAUAUAAACUGAGAUCUUCUUAGUUUUUGUUUGUUUUUUAAAAUUUCUAAAUGCCAUUUUAUCUUCAUUCAUUUCUUUUCCGUAGGGUUAUGAUCGAUUACUAAUAACAUCUUGGGGUCAUGACCCUGGGGUAGUCCCUACGUCCAACGUGCUCACGAUGCUGAAUGAUGCUUUAACACAUUCGGCAGUUUUGAUUCAGGUACAGUUGCUUUGUUUGAAACAACCAGUUUUGGAUUUUUAUUUUUAAAGAUUCUAAUUUGUUAAGUCACAGAUGUCGGUGAUUUGAAAUUUGUAAAGCUGAAACAUAAGAGAUGAGAUACGGAUUUUUGCCCUGGCCUUUGUCUGGCAGUGUGGGAAUCCCAGAAACAACAUGGAUUUUGUAGUGAGACCCAGACUUGAAUUCCAGCUUCACAUUUGCUACCUGUGUGGCCGUAAUUGUUUGAUACAUGUAAUCGCUCUAUCGAGGUAUAAUUCACGUAGUGUACAGUUCACCAAUUUAAAUUGUACACUUCAGUGUUUUUUAGUGUAGUUGCAGGUAUCCACAGCCAUCAUCAAGCUCAAUUUUAGAACAUUUUCAUUACCUCAAAAAGAACUCCCGAACCUUUAGUUCUCAGUCCCCUAGUCCCCAGCCCCAAACAACACUAAUCUACUCGCUCUUUCUCUAGAAUGCUUCUUCUGGGCAUUUCACACACACAAAGUCACGUAAUGUGUGGUCUUUUGUCACCGGUCUCUUUUACUUGGCAGAAUGUUUUUGAGCUUCAUCAUGUUGUAGCGUGUUAUCAGUCCAUCAUGAAUCAUUACUGCGUUCCUUUUUAUGGCCAAAUAAGAAGUCCCUUGUGCGAAUAUACCACGAUCUGUUUUUCCCAUUCAUUGUUGAUGGACACUUGGGUUGUUUCCACCUUUUGGCUAUUAAGAAUCAUAGUAAUCACUGUUGUAACUGUUCAUUUAUAGGUUUUUGUGUGGCCGUAUUGUCAUUUCUCUUAGGUAUGUGGUUAAGAGUGGAAACGCUGGAUCAUACGGCGAUUCUGUGUGUAACUGCUUAAGGAAUUUCCAGGCUGUUUUCCAGAGUGGCUGCACCACUUUCCAUUCCCACCAGCACUUGGUAUUAUCUGACUUUUUAAGUUAGAACCCACCUGGUGGGUGUGAAUGGUAUCUCAUAGUAGUUUUGAUUUGUGUUUUCUUGAUGCCUGGUGAUGGGGCCCUCUUUUCACAUGCUAAUGAGCUGUGUGACAUUUUGAAGAUACUUCUGUUAGUUUCCCACCCAUGAAACGGAGAUGGUGACAUUUACUGUAUAGCAACAAAAAAUAAUGUAGCAGCUAAUGGUGAGAUAAGCAAUUUAUAGUCCUAGGAUUGUUGAGAGAAUGAAAUAAGGAUGUGCUGAAGUGUGCGGCACACUUUCUGUUUCAUAAUAGGUUCUCAAUAAAGAUUUCAUUGGUUUAUUCAACUAUCAAUCGUUAUGUGCCAUAUUCUGUGCUAAUUAACGUGGAUAUACAAAUAAGUCACGGUCCCUGUGUUCAAGGGAUUUAAGUCUGGUGGGAAAAGUUGCAUAAGCAGCCAGUUUCAGUUUUUUGCUGAGUGCUGAAUAGAAUUAUCUAUGCUGCAAGCAUUAGAGAGAAGUACCUAGUUCAGCCAUGAGGCAAGGAGAAAGGCUGAGGGGACACUCAGAGAAAAUGAGACUCAGGCUGCAUACAGAAGGAUGAUACAGAAGAGAGCCAGGUCAGGCACAGGGGUUAGCAUGAAUAAACCUGUGGGCAGAGAUGUUUUUCUUUUCCUCCGCUGCUAUUUCCCUAGUGCCUAGAACAGCACCUGGCUCAGAGUAGCUACUUACGAGUGUUUUGAUGUAGGCAGGCCCUGGAGAGUAGUGUGCCUUGACCCUUUUGCUACCGAGCUUUGACUGUACCCUAUAGAUUGAUGAAAGAGAGCAAAGGGUGCUGAGCAGGGGAUUUAUGUGGUCAGUGUGUCUUGGGAAGAUCAGCUUGGAGAGUAUGCCGAGAAGGGUUGGGUAAGGUAAGAUACUUGAAGCAAGAGGACCAAUUAGCAUUUGGUGUAGGAGUCCCGAUAAGAGGGGAAGUCAGCCUAGAUUAGAAGAAUAAGUACUGAAAGGAGAAACUGGAUUCAAUAAUUCUUACAAAUUAAAAUUAAUAGAAUUGAUCAGAUGUCUGAGAAGGCUGUGAGAAGAGGAAGGGUAGGAUUCCUGGGGGGUUGGCUUGUGAAGGUGGAAGAAUGGUGAUAUCCCUGCUUGAGCAAACAGAGGAGGAAGAGCCGGUUGAUGGGGGUCAGGUGAUGUGUGUUGUGUUUGGGGCAGGCUGAGUCUAAGGUGCCUGUGGGACAUUUGGGUGGUAGGGCUAUCUAGUCGGUAAUGGAAAACAUUUUGAAAUCCAGACGAGAGUUGAACAGGAAGCAUUGACUUGAGUGUCCGCAUCAGCACGUGGAGGUAGUUGAAAGCACGAAGAACAGGAUGCGUUCGCCAGCAGGGGGGACACCUAGCAGGGGUAGUGGUGGCAGAUGACCUCACAGGAUGGGUGAGACGUGGGCUCGAGUCAGUCUGCCUAAAAUCUUGAUUCCACCAUUUAUUAGGAAUCUUGGGCAAAUUAAAUAAUCUUGAAUUCCUUCACCUGCAGACUAAAGAUAAUGGUUCCUAAGGUCGUUGAAGGGAAUGAGCGAAUUGCACCAUCUACAUAAAAUGCCUGUACCUGUGCCUAGCACACGGGACGGUCCCAGAAGGCGUUAGCCGUGUGGCGGUAGUGGUAGCAGAUGUGGCCCAGUUUUAACGUGUUUAUGAGGAGUUUUGUUUUUGCUAAAAAAGAAUGCCUCUUUUAUUUUAAGUUUCAUGGGAGAAAUUCAUCUUGCUGGAACUUAAAACACAAUUUUGAUUAAAACCACGCUUUCAUUGUAACAGCCUUGAUUGGGGUAGAAAUCAUAAUGGUACCGAUGAGGUAAAAGUGGGCUCCCGGAAGAAAUACAUUCGGGUUGUUAUACGCACCAUUGAAACGAGUGCGGUUUUUCUCUGAAAUAAUUUUUUUCUUGUGUGUCAGAGUACUUUGAGUUUAAAUAAUGCAAAGGGUUUUUUCAGUGGAAAAAUGUAUAGAUCCCCAGUGUUAAAUUUUCUCUUGUAGCGAUACUAAAUACACAUAAACAUAAAAUUAAGUUCUUCAUUCUUAUUAUUCUUAAACAGUUAUAAAACCAAAAUAAACCUGGGGAUUUAAAUUAAAAAAAAAAGAACGCUUUAAAAUUAACAAAAUUCAAAUGAACAUUAAUUGAAAGUAAUAGAUAAAACUAAAUUAUUAUUUGUAGCAUGGGAGUGGGGUGGUUAGACUCAGAUUUUUUUAAUUCAGUUUUUGAGUUGAUAGAACCUUCGCAUGAUUCAGAAAUAAAACACUGUUAAAAGAUGCAUGGAGGAAAGUAUCACUACCCUUCCAACACUAUCUUCCCAGUUCUCCCCAUUUCUUUUCCUAAUCAGAUACAUUUUUAGUUUCUGCUGUACUCUUCUAGAAUUUCUUUAUGCAGAUGCAAGCCAACACACAGUGCUAUAUCCCCAUGCUUUUUUCACUUAGCAACUGGAGACCUUUCCAUUUCCGUUCAUAGGGAGCUUUUUUUUUUCUUUUUUUUUCUUUUUUUUCUGGUAGCUGCAUUGAAAAUACAUACGUUGAUUUGUUUAACCCCAGUUGGGGGCAUUCAUAAUCAUAUAAUUUUGAAUAUGUCACUGAGUACAGGUGUUUGAGUUUUGCAUUCCUAGUUCAUGAUAUGCCAGGUGACUGAUGAUGGGAUUCCUUCACCACUUUUCCUCUCUCGGACCUGCAGCUAACCCUUGUAUGAGUGUGCCUGAUUUCAGUCUUCAGUUGUCUCACACCUGAUGUACCUGUUCAGUUGGCCUCUCUUUAUCGUUAGCCGUACACUCAUUUAGAGACACAUUGUCCUAUAGGUUAAUACACACUUAAGGUCUUUGCUUGCUGAGAAAAAUUAAAAAUUGUUGAAAGAUUUUUGAUGGUAUGUUAGUGUAGAAUAUGCCAUCACAUGGCACAGUCUUAUUUAUUGUUUAACUAUCUGUUACUGGAAAUACAGAUUUCUUGUAUAACUUUCAACUGUGUUUCUUCAUGUUUAGGGACAUGGUUUGCAUGGGAUAGGAGAAACUGUCCACAUACCUUUUCCAUUUGAUGAAACAGAACUACAAGGAGGUAUCUUGCUUUUAAAUUAUAUCUGAGUUCUUUAUCAUUAAUCUUUGUCAACAGUUUGGUAGAAAACAUAGCAGGAAGUGAAUUCUUAAAACUUUGAGUUCAAGAGUCUUUAAAAAAAUUUUUUUUUUAAUGUUCAUUAAUUUUUGAGAGAGAGAAAGCUCAGGCCCAUAAGUUGGGGAGGGGCAGAGAGAGAGGGAGACACAGAAUCGAAAGGUCUCAGGCUCUGAGUUGUCAGCACAGAGCCUGACGUUUGGGGCUCAAACCCAUGAACCGUGAGAUCAUGACCCGAAACGAAGUCAGACACUCAACUUACUGGGCCACCUAGACACCCUAGUUCUAGGGUCUUAUCAUUGCCACUUUUAAAGAGUAUUGGCAAAGGUAGUUUUCUUUCUUUCUUUCUAUUAUAAUUUAUUGGCAAAUUGGCUAACAUACAAUGUAUGAAGUGUGCUCUUGGUUUUUGGGGUAGAUUCCUGUGGUUUAUCGCUUACAUACAACACCCGGUGCUUAUCCCAGCAGCAAAGGUAGUUUUCUGCCAUGUGCCUUUUCCCAUAAAGAACUAGUAGAAUAAGACUUAUUUAGGAUCUUUGAAGGAAUACUAGUUUGCCUUGGAGAUGAAGAGAAUCAGUAGGUCUCUGUUUAGGUGAAAGACUAGAUUUUCCUGUCUGUUUAGCCUUUUACUUUUCUUUUAUUGUUUAUUUGGAGGCUGGGGGAGAAGAAUUCACAGGGAAUUUUUUUACCUUAGAAAGCCAAUUUUUUCUUUCCCAGUGUUACAUACUAUUUGCCUCCCUCUUCCAACCCAGGAGCUUUUUUAGGUGAUUUAGAAAUACAUGCCAUUGGGGCGCCUGGGUGGCGCAGUCGGUUAAGCGUCCGACUUCAGCCAGGUCACGAUCUCGCGGUCCGGGAGUUCGAGCCCCGCGUCAGGCUCUGGGCUGAUGGCUCAGAGCCUGGAGCCUGUUUCCGAUUCUGUAUCUCCCUCUCUCUCUGCCCCUCCCCCGUUCAUGCUCUGUCUCUCUCUGUCCCAAAAAUAAAUAAACGUUGAAAAAAAAAAUUNCUUUGUUUUCUCUUUAAAAGACAAAUCAGGGGGAGCCUGGGUGGCGCAGUCAGUUAAGCGUCCGACUUCAGCCAGGUCACGAUCUCGCGGUCCGGGAGUUCGAGCCCCGCGUCAGGCUCUGGGCUGAUGGCUCAGAGCCUGGAGCCUGUUUCCGAUUCUGUAUCUCCCUCUCUCUCUGCCCCUCCCCCGUUCAUGCUCUGUCUCUCUCUGUCCCAAAAUAAAUAAACGUUGAAAAAAAAAAAAAAAAUUUAAAAAAGAAAUACAUGCCAUUGAAUAUGGGUAUAAUACUUUACGGUUUACAGAGUACCUGCAUGUAUUUCCUCUUUCAGCAUUUGAUUUUGUUGUUAAAUGUUACUUUUUGCAAUUAGGAUUUGAGUGGAUUAUAGAGUUUGAACUAAAUAAAGCUAGUUAGAAUCAAGGGCAGGGGGAAAACCCGUUUAAAGUGUUCUCUUUCUAGAAUUGGAUGUGAACUAAGUACAUUUGGUAUAAGAUGUUCAGAGAAUAUCUGUUAAAAGCAAAUUUAUUCUUCCUUUUGUUUAAUAUAGGAGAUGACCCUUUCUCUGUCAAAUAUUAGGAAGGUAUAUAUGUUCAAAAGAAAAAUAAUACGAUUAAAACUUAACAUAUAUCUAUAUAGCACUACUCCAUGUAAAAUUGCCGUUGUGUAAUCUUAUUUUUCUGGUUCUUAGAGCCAUCUUGCUUGAAUUUUUAGAAAGCAGUGAAUGGUUCAAGUAAUCUAAUUUUUGUUAGUUUAUAUAAGAACUUAAUGUUCUCCCAAAAUAAUAGAGUGAGGGAAAGGAAGAUUUUUAAAAUAUCUUUUUCCUUUUCACAUAGCCAGACUGCGGAAGCCUCAUGUUUGAAAUUAAGUUCUCUCUCUUGCCUGUUGUGAAUAAAUGUGUACAAAGUUUAGAGAAGAGUUUUCUCUUCCAAAAAAUAGCCCCUUUUCAAUAAGUACUUCUCUGCAAUUAAACUUUGCUAUUUAAUCCUCUGAUACUUUAUAAAUUCUGUGGAGGGACGCCUAGGUGGUUCAGUCGAUUAAGCAUCCGACCUCGGCUCAGGUCAUGAUCUCAUGGUUCAUGAGUUCGAGCCCCACAUCAGGCUGCACUGAGAGUGCAAAGCCUGCUUCCGACCCUCUGUCUCCCUCUCUCUCUCUGCUCCUCCCUUGUUUGCACACAUUCCCAUUCUCUCUCUCUCUCUCUCUGUCUCUCUCUCUCAAAAAUAAACAUUUUACAAAAAUAAAUUCUGUGGAAAAGUAUUAGUUCACCUGAAGAUAUAGGCUAGUGACAACAGGAUCUUAAAAUUUAUACAAAAUCUCAAAAACUGAUUAAUAGCUCUCUUGCCUUGAGAGAUUGUGUGAAUUAUAAAAGAAUCUUCAUAUCUGAGUAUAGAGCAUAUUUCUGUUACAGAAGUUCAUGUAUUUAUAAAACUUGCACUGGUAUUUGAAUAAUUUAUUAAGGAUAUAAUUUCAAGUCCUUUUUGGCUUUUGUCUAAAUAGGAAUAAUUUUACUUUAAAAAGGUUUUCAAAAAUAUAUGUAUUUAAUACAUUUCAAAAAUGUCGGGGCGCCUGGGUGGCGCAGUCGGUUAAGCGUCCGACUUCAGCCAGGUCACGAUCUCGCGGUCCGUGAGUUCGAGCCCCGCGUCGGGCUCUGGGCUGAUGGCUCAGAGCCUGGAGCCUGUUUCCGAUUCUGUGUCUCCCUCUCUCUCUGCCCCUCCCCCAUUCAUGCUCUGUCUCUCUCUGUCCCAAAAAUAAAUAAACUUUGAAAAAAAAAAUUUAUAAAAAUGUAAUGUGUAUGUAGUACAUAGAAGCCCAACAAGGAAGCAUUUGAGGCAGAAUAGAACCACGAAGAGAAGUCUAGAGAAUUUGCCACUGACCAGCCCAAUUUUUUAUUUUAUUUUUUUAUUAAAAAAAUAUAUUUUUUUUAAUGUUUGUUUUUGAGAGAGAGAGGCAGAGCAUGAGUGGGAGGGAGACACAGAAUCUGAAGCAGGUUCCANNCUCUGUGCUAUCAGCACAGAGCCUGAUGUGAGACCUGAACCCACGAACUGUGAGAUCAUGACCUGAGCUGAAGUUGGACACUCAACCAACUGAGCCACCCAGGCGCCCCUGACCGGUCCCUGUUUGCUUGCUUAGCACAUAGUUUGUUCUGAUACCGUAAAUGCCUCCUGGAGGCUAUAAAUAAAUCUGUGUAUGCCAGCCUUUUCCAUUCACAAGUAGGUUUUUGUUGGAAUCAGUGUUGAUAGAUUCAAGUAUAAAAGGAGUUCUGAGAAUUGUUCAAUAAAGGUAUAUUUACAUUUUUGAUGUUGUUUUAUGUUACAAAACUGUACUUACAGUGUAAUGUCACCUCUUUGUUCUUAGAGUUCACUCGCGUCAACAUGAGUGUUCAUAAAGCCUUGCAGAUAUUAAGGAACAAAGUGGAUCUGCAGCAUUUUUGUGGCUAUGUCACCGUGUUGAAUGCUUCGAGCCGCCUUGCACACAGAAAGCUCAGUGACGCUUCUGAUGAGAGAGGUCAGCCAGUGGUUGGGUUCCCUGAAUUAAGGUGGUUGUACUGAGUUUAUUGCAAUCUUAGUAUUUUAAGAAGCAGGGACUCUUGUGGGGACGUCCACACUAAGUAUUAUGUAAUACUUAGAGUUUUCUCGCUAAGGUGAGAAAAUAUUCUGUGACAUCAUUUGGACUAAUAUCAGUUGUUCAGAUAGAGAAAAUACAGAAGUACUGACCUGGGGUUAGAGUACAGAGUGGUUUUUAGGUUUUAGCCCUUUCUUUACUGUUGGCUCUGUGGUAAUAGGCUUUAAAUUAAGUUCCUCUGUGAAGUGAUGGCUUCAGAACUUGAGUCUCUUUGUAAAGAGGUUUCCAAAGUAGAAUUAACAGGUUUUUUUUUUUUUUCCCAUUCAGCCUUUCUUUUUCUGUCAAAGGCACCACUGUCUCAAUGACCCAGGCCUAAAAUCUUGUCUUUGCCUCUUCCUUUUUUUUUCACGCUGUCCACUUUGUUUCCACGUUCUGGGGAAUUAGUCUUUAGAAGUGUCUCUCAUAUCCUUUCUUCUCUUCUCAUUUCUUUUGAAAUUCUCUGUAACUGUCCUUCUAACCUGCGUCUCAAUACUGUAAUCCUGAAUCACUGCAGCCAUUUCCUGCCUAGCCUUCCUGGCCUCAUUCUCCUCUGUCUCCAGCCCAUCUUGCGUAUUGACAACAGUUAGUUUUCCUUUACUUUUUUAAUUAAAGAAUUUAUUUGCAUGUCACCUUCCCAUGCUCACUGAUUGUUUCCACUCUGGCCUAGUUUUGGCUUGUAUGUGGCUUUGGUGGCCAUAGUGCCAGCUCUGGUCCAUGACUCUAGAAAACCUUUCAAUUCAAUCGUCUGUCGUUGAUUGACUAUAUUCCCUGAGCCUCUUAGUGUGCAAUCCUGAGUAUAUAUGAUUGAUGUGCUAGCCAUCCAGUGGAUCGGAUUGGCUCCCUCUGAGUUAAAUAUCCACCCCAAAUAUCCUUUACCUUUGGCCAGAAGAUGUGAGUAAAUUUUAACAGUUGACUGCCAUGUAUCACAGGGGCAUUUCCAUGUUUUAUUUUUUCAUUCCGCCAGCAUUUAUGGAGUACCUGCUGAGGUGCUAGAAAGAUAGAAAUUAGUAAGACCUAAGGAAUGAAACCCUAGAAAGGGAGACAAGCAAGUGAGUCAGCCUGCCGCGUAGUGUUAAAAUCUGUGCCAAAGCUUGGCAUCAGCUCCAUGUGCUGAUGUAGGGCCGAGAAGGCAUAUCUCAGGCCAACUGAGCUAUCAGAAAAGGCCUCUUAGAGCAGGUAAAGCUUGAAGUAAGUCUUGCAAAGUGAGGAUUUGGGUACGUAAAAGAUGGUUGCUGUGUAUUUGGAGGGUAGCAGCCUUUCAGGCAGAGGGAAUCAAGCAGUAGGGUAAGCUCAUCUUGGCAAAAAGAAAGAAUUUGUUGGAAAGUAGUAGAAAAUGAGAGUAAAGAAGUUGGUAAGAUCAGGAGAUCUUGGAGGAUCUUCAGUGCUGGAAGAUACGAAGAGUCAAAGAAUUUUGAAGAGGAAUAACAUAAUCAGAUUGCAUAUUUCCAUGGGGAUAGAAGCGACUUUGGUAAAGAUCUAAGUGAAAGUCUAAUAAACUUAUGUUCUGCCUUUUGAGUCCUUGUUUCCUUUGGCCAGGGUUUUACAACCUCAGCACCAUUUAUAUUUUGAGCGGGAUAAUUGUUUGUUUUGGAGGACUGUCCUGUGCAUUGUAGGAUGUUUAGCAUCCCUAGAUAUCAGUAGCAUCCCUGUCCCCAUUCACGACAACCGCAUAGGUCUCCAGACAUCGUCAGAGGUCUCUUGGGGGACAAAAUUGCCCCCUCCUUGGGAACUGCUUUAGGCUGAAGACUGUUCAUUAUUCUCCAUUGUCAUUCCUGUUGCUGGAGUCUUCUCUUCCGUUAGAACCGAUUUACUGACGACUUGUGCCGACUACUAAACCCUAACAUUGUGUAUGUCCUUUAAUUACAAGGAGACCCUGAUUUGGCUUCUGGCUCAGAUGUAAAUGGGAGCACAGAGUCAUUUGAAAUGGUCAUUGAGGAAGCAACUCUAGACUCGGCAACAAAACACAACUCUGGUAAGGCUUUAAGAAUUAAUUUGUAGCUUUAGACUAGUUUCUGAUGUUUAACUCUUCUGUUACAUCAUUUGGAUGGCAUUUGUCUGCUCUAUUUAUCCACAGUGGGCCUUUUAGUAAGCAUUUACCAGGAAACAUUUUUUUAUGUUUAGAGUAACAAUUAAAGUAUUAUAAAAACAUGAUCUGAGAAUGACUUCAGUUGCGUUUUUCCUAUGUUAAAUUCUUUCAUCCUGUAGUUGUCUUAUGAUAUCUUUUUUGGGGGGAAAAGACCAUUUUGAACAUCUGAUGAAAGCUUUGUACCUUCUCCCCAGAAGCACGUACAUGCUCAAGAAAGAUUCUUUCCUGUUUCAGAGAUUCACUGACCUCUCUGAAUCCUCUCCCCUGUUAAGCCCAUUGCUGGAUACCGCGGGGGUAGGAGGAAUCUGAAAAUUUAUGAGCCUCAGUUAAACCCUGGUCAGUCAUAAUAUAUGUGACUACCUAUGUGACUAACAGCUGUGUGCCCUUUGUAGCUGCCACAACAGAAGCGGAUUGGGUUCCUCUUGAGCUGUGCUUUGGAAUUCCAUUGUUUAGUUCUGAAUUAAACCGGAAAGUUUGUAGAAAAAUUGCGACACACGGCCUUUGCAGAAAAGAGAGGUGAGGGUUUGUAUUCAUUGUCAUCUUUUCAUUUGUGAGACUUCUAGGCUCUCAGUUGUUACAUCUUAUUUUCUUCUAUUUCACACGUGAGCAUGGUAAUUGCCUUGAGUAUAUUUGUUGAUUGAAUAGAGAUUGCUAAUUAAGGAUUUUGCUGUAUUUUUCAAAAUUAAACUUCAGCACCUCAAAAAUCUGACUUAUGCAAACAUUUGGGACACAUGUUUUGGUUAAUUUUAGUUAUGUUAACUUAAUUACCAGGUCUGGCGAGGUAUAUGAGAUGAUAAACCUAGUGUUUGUAAUAUGUAUGUGUCUAGAACAUUUCCCUUGUGCACUUCUGUCACUCUUAGCAAACACACGUUCAAAUUAUGUCAUGUAAAUAGUGGUUAUCUAUUAUGGUGGAAUUAUAGCUGAAUUUCUAAAUUUUGUUCAGAUUUCCAUGUUUUCUAAAAUGAGCACGUAUUACUUCUCAGAGAUGGUAUGUAGGUUUUGUUUCCCAUGCCUACUCUGAUCUGUUGGGAGCAGUUGCUAAGAGGCAGUGUUGUGAAAGUUCUGCGACUUUGGAGCAUAUGGGAAUAUUCCUCAAUCUCAUUGUCUUGGUAGGGUGGCUGAGAGAGCUGAUGUCCACAGGUCUCCUUGACUUCUUUUAGAAAACAAAGUUGUAGAAGUAAUUCAUUUAAUUGGCUUAAUAUAGUUUAUCAGAAGAUUAAAAGUGCUCAGUCAACAAAUAAUUUCAGCAGUUCUCUGAAAGUAACAUACAUGAGUAAAAAAGUAGAAACACUAAUAACAGCUUUAAAGAUGGCCACCAUGAUUGUUACCAGUUUACAUAUUUGAAAAAUAUUUGAUUUAGGUGGGUUGAUGUGUAUUAAAUCUGUCAGGCUUUUUAUCAGGAUGUAUUUUAAAAUUACAUUGGGUAUUUGAAGUUUGUAUCAUAAUUGUCAUUCCUGCCUGAAUUUUCGUUUUAAAAUUUUUCUUUCAUUUAACAUUUAUAUUUGCUAAUAGUUUAAAUUCUUCCUCACAAUAACUUCUCAGUUUUCGUUUUAUACAUGGUUUUUUAUUUCAGAAUGGUCCUUUUAUGCACUGUUAAACUCCCUACUCUUAAAACUGGCAGAAAUUUCACGGAUGAGAACUACUGAAAAAUGUUUUAAUUUUUUAUGUGAUUAAUCAGAAUGUAUUUACACAUAUAAAUGCAUUUAAAUUGCUGAAAUUAUUGUGAGAUAUUAGUUCUUGCCAUUAAAAUUAUAUUUGUCUUAAAAUUUCCCUUUUUUUUCAGCCUUCAGAACCUCUUACAUUCCAGUAGAAAACUCUCUCUACAAGUCCUUAACUUUGUCCACUCAUUCCAGGUAACAAAACCCAAAAAAUCCAAAUGGUAUUUGCAUAGAGCUUUAUAGGAUGCAGAGCAGUUCCAUGUCAUGCUCAAGUGCAAAGAGUGCAAAGUGAUGUUAUUUAAAGACUUUUAACUGAUGGGGCGUGUGAGCGGGGGAGGGGCAGAAGAGGGUGGGGGGUGGACAGAGGAUCCAAAGCAGGCUCUGUGCUGACAGCAGCAGCUGGAUGCGGGGCUUGAACUCAUGAACUGUGAGAUCAUGACCUGAGCCGAAGUCAGAUGCUCAACCAACUGGGCCACCCAGGCGCCCCAGUUGUUAAAGACUUUUAAAUAGGAACGACAUUAUUUCUGAUUGCCUGUUUUAAAAAAUUAGUUACUGUUCAGAAAGCAGAUGAAAAAGGGACAAGCAUAAAAGCAAGACUAGUUCAGAGAAUGUUAUAAUAGCCCAGGUGAGAAUUUUUGGUAGCUGAGCUCCCCUUUUCAUUAAAAAUAGCCCCAAAGUUUGCAUGUAUCCAUAAUAAAGGUUGAUUGCACAUAUAUACUGUUAUAUCAACAAAUGAUAUUAUAAAACAUACACAAAAAUAGAAAUUUUGUAAGGAUGUAAUAGUCGAUAGAGCAUUUGUAAGAUUUUUACAGUCCCGUGCCCUGCUUUGGAGUGAGUACCCCACUUUGGAAACCACUGGCCCAGACUGGGUGGCGGGCUCUGUUGACUGUAUCAAGCAGUUUGGGAUACACGUUGGAUGUAGACGGAUUGACCUGAUUAACUCAAUGUGAGGAAAAGAUUGAGGGUGUGGUGAGGAAGGGAAGACUCAAGAAUGAGUCUCCUGUUUCUGGACUAGCUUCGUGUGUGGAGUAGGGAAGGCUGGCGAGGAAUUGGAGAAUUAAGGUCAUGGACAUGGUAAGUGUGGAACGUGUGGCGAAACAUCCAGGAGCAGAUGUCAGCUCGGUGCAUGUUUGAGCCUGGAGUCCUGGGGAGAGGUCUGUGCUAAGUGUUACGGGAGUCUGAGAGCCUUGGGAGCAUGGAGUGUUCUGGGUGCUUAAUGUCACAUGAGGGGUUUUUAGAGAUUGUUGAAGAAUUAACUUUUUUCUUGUCCUCUGGCCUCCUAGCCUAUUUUUGUUUAUUUCUAAGCGCUUAUCGUGGUGUGACUUGUGUCAGUCAUUACCGCGUACAGUAAUUCCCCUGAUUGAUUAUUGGGGAUUGUGACGUAGAUCUUGGCAUCUCCCACAGUGCUUUGCAUCCCAGAAACAUUUCUUGGGCAAAGUCUGUAUUUGUAACUAGCUAUGUUCAGUGGUUUGGUAAAGUGUCGAAUAUGGGAUUUUUUCUCUUCCUUGGUCUUCUAGGAAGGUGCUUCCACACUGGAUGUUCACACAGAGGCCAGCUUUUCCAGUGUGCCUUCACAGUCCUCCUGUGCCGACACAGGAGUUCCGCUUCCUGCAAAGAACUUAAUAUUUAAAGAUGGUGUCUUAUCAGAGUGGAGUGGACGGUCACCUUCCUCACUUCUUGUUGCUAAUCUCCAUUUGCAAUAAUUUCGUUCCACCAUGCAUUGCUCACACUUUCUGCCUUUUUUUUUCUUAACGUAGCUUUAUAGUGCCCGCCACUAAGAAGCACCCUGCUGCUACAGUGCACUUCAUGCUUAACUGAUGUGAAGAGAUUGGGGAACAUGUUCAUGUUUUCUAAAGUUUUCCUCAUUAUUGCACUUCCUAAUGCAACAAAGAGCUUUUUAGCAGCCUGCACCGUAUUUUUUACCUUGAGACAAUCUGCAUUUCUUUUAUAAAACUGAGGAUAUACUUUAUAGGCUUUAUGAUGACUGUUACGUUUAUAAGCAGUCACUAUGAAUAUUGCAGUGGUAAUUUUAUAUGUUAGUUUAUCAAACAUAAAUCUUGUUUAAUUUUAUAUUUUGUUACCUACUCUUUAGGGGAUCACAGGAAGAGGUGGAACUCUUCCCCUGAAAAGGCUUCUUGGUACUUAAAAGUAGCAAAACUAUAAAACAAUAAACAUCCAGUUUUGAGAGAUGAUAUGAUGGGGCAUUAAGAAUUUCUGUGGAUGUCUGUAAAUUAUGUAUAUGAGUUGAACAUUGUUGAAGGUAUGUAAAUCAGCAUAGUUAUGUAUAACUUAACCUUGAUUUAUAAGGUCUUAACUCAGACUCUGACUAUACAUUGACAUCUCAUGAGAAGCUUUGGAAAACAUUCUAUUUUUAAACAACAUUUAUAUGUGGACUUCUGUCGUCACUCACUUUGGGCUUUAUAUUUUCAUAGAGUCUUUAUGGAAAAAUAGAAUUUGUUUUCCACUGUUGUAACUGUGGCUGCUGCACGUUUUUACCCACAUUUAUUUUUUGUUUAGUAGCUUUACCAAUGAAUUGUUAUGAAAUCGAAUUUGGUGUUUAAAAACCAAGGAUUGUGAUUUUAGGUUAGAAUUACAUAUUUAGAGGCAUUAAGGCUAUAUGUCUUCUGAUCAAAACACUUGGUGAUAAACCUACUUUGAAGACAUUCUUAGGCAAUCUGGACCUUAAAUUUAUGUGAAUAGUUUUGGAGGGACUGAUAAAGAAAAAUUGAGCAAUUUCAAAAUGUUUCUCGACUCAUUAAUUCUUUUAGAUCUCAAAUGUUAAUUAGAAUAAUUGGAAUCACUUUCUAGAUUUUUUAAGUUACCUUCCUUGGGAAGUUUGUGCAGUGUUCUAGUUUAGUGUAGCUCUUCUCAUAGGAUAACGGUUUGCUUGUUUAAAACUGUAACCAAACUAACUGGUCAAACAACAUAUAUCUAAAAACACUUAAAGCAUUAGAAAAUUUGGGAAUGUUAUAACCUAAACAUUUUUGCUGAUAAUUUUUGGUCAUUUAUAGAACUGAUAUUUGUGUAUUUAACAUACUUCUGGAAAUAUAUGCCUUUCUUAAAACUGUUAACAUAAUCAUGCAUUCAAUACCAUGGCCUACCUAUAGAAUCGAAUAUCUUGGAGCAGGUUACCUGUGGCACACGGUCAGUGCUGUGUUUGGGGUAAGUGCAGUAACGUUUAGUUUUCUACUUUGUCUUAUAUGAGGUAGAAAUCAAGUGUAUGUUAUAAAUGUUUGUCUAUAAAAGGAAAAAUACAUACUAAUAUUAAAAUAAUUUCUUAUGACUGUGAAUCACUCAUUUAUUUUUCCAAUAAUUGAUAUUGUACAUUCCUAGUGCUAUUAGGUAUGUAUGUAACUUACAGUUUUUCAACUGAAAGUUGUAAGUAUUUCAUUUGAUCAGGGCUCUUUAAUCUCAUUUUCAUUUGCUUUGUUUAUAUUAACUGUAGUUAUUUUAUUUAUUCCUGUAUUAACAAUCUAAGCCUACUGUAAUGACAUGUACACUAAUAAAGAAUCGAAUAAUUUGUAGUUGU